CUGAUGCGCCUCCCUGACCCUAACCCCCAUUCGAAACCUAACCUAGCUCUCUCUUCUACAAAUCUCGCCCUCUGCGCACCUAGCCACGGAGCCAGCCACCCACGUCCUCGAGGCCGGCGGCACCCAGGUUCCUCCCAGUCUCGCAUCACCUCGAAGCCUUCCUCCGAAGUCCCAACGCCGAACACGAAGUCCAAAGCAGAGAUCCCAGAGCACCACGAAGUCCCAGAGCAGAGAUCCCCCACCGGCGGUGCACCACGAAGACGAAGCCGUCGCACAACAGGCCACCACCCACUGGCUCAACAGGGCAGCAUAGCACCACGCCACUGAGACGCCACCACCCAGCAGCGUUUCUGGGUUCUAGCCACGAUCAACAGUUCAUCACAGCACCUCCCAGUCUCCCACCCAGCCACCGAUUCAGGGUAUGUAUGUAUAAGCAAGUUGCUCAGAUGGCUGAACUGAAGAAGAUUUUGUAUGAGAAGUUCAAGGACUCGAUCAAUCUCGAGGAGGAUAGUAGCCUUCUUCUUGUUCAUAGGUCUUUUUGGGUUGAUUUGAACUCUAUUGAACUUUGGGAAUUUUUCAAUCAGAUUGUCUCAUGUUUUAUUUCAUUUCAUGUUUAGAGUAUUUUCUUGCUUGAACUCUAUUGUUCUCUUUGUUAUUAGAAUGUAUAACUAGAUUAGAAUGUUUUUCUACUAGUCUUAUAUUAUUAUUAUUAUUAUUGUUGUUCUUAUUAUGUAACUGCUUUUUUAUUUCAAGUUGGUUUGCGUUAAGAAGUUUAGCUGUUUUGUUGGAGAAGACACUAUAAUUUGGCUAUCUUUUAACGGAAAUUUAUUUUUAUUUUUA
Arachis stenosperma is the source of this 840-nucleotide long non-coding RNA. RefSeq lists it as uncharacterized. NCBI's taxonomy places the organism in Eukaryota, Viridiplantae, Streptophyta, Magnoliopsida, Fabales, Fabaceae. The transcript has 2 exons. The record is from RefSeq and is a predicted model, not a curated record.